Brassica oleracea var. oleracea is the source of this 1062-nucleotide long non-coding RNA. RefSeq lists it as uncharacterized. The transcript has 2 exons. Lineage: Eukaryota; Viridiplantae; Streptophyta; Magnoliopsida; Brassicales; Brassicaceae. The record is from RefSeq and is a predicted model, not a curated record.
UUGUUGCUGGAGGAACACUUUUUUUCUUGCAAUAUCCUAAGUAUCCUCAAACUAACUACACUCUCUCCUAACUACAACUUCUCUGACUAAGAUGUCACUUCCUCUUCUUUAAAAAAUAAAUGGAUGGCCAGUUUCUGAUUUAUGAGUUUUCGAAAACCAACAUAUUUCUCUCUCCAACUUUACUUUUUGAAAUUCAGAUCUAGUUUUCCAAAUUUGACAGUCCUUUCUUCAUUUAUUAACCCUAAUAGAACACCAAGAAUCCAGAGACCUCGAUGCGAGUUUGAUUGUGUAAUCUCGUCUCCACCUUUUCUUAUCUCAUCACCUUUCUCAUCCAUUCUUUGCCGCCCAUUUUCGGAACUAUAUCUAACCAUGACGAAACCAAAAUCAAAGAUGAAAGGGAAGAUUUCCGAGCAACCAACUCCACCGGAAAACGAUAUCAAAGGUACACUUCAGGCGGACCUCCGUCUCCCGCCGAGACUAUUUGCAACUGAUAGGUUCCCGACCAAAAGCCUCAACAUCUACUCACUUUAUUAGCUUUCGUUAGUGUCGGGAUUCAUUAAUGUUUUGAUGCUUGUUCUGUUUCUGGUCACUAGACAUUCAGUAUCCAAAUCAAAGCAUCAAUCUUUUUAAUGAUACUCGUAAUUAUUUUCAUUUCAGUGUCUGAUUGUGUGCUACAAGCCUGAACUAAAAGAGCGUCUGCUUCCUCUAAGACCUACUUCAGAAUUGAAUCUCAGAGAUGCUGAUGCGUCUAGUUCUUCUGCUUUUGGUAGAACUACCUUCUUGGAGUUGAUGUCUUGGAUCGUAAGAAACGUGGACAAAGCCUACGUUCUUGGAUUCUUGUUGAUAUCUCUCAAAACACUCAAAUGAUGGAAGUUGACAAGUUCAUUAUGAUGCGUAGAUGUGAUCACUUACCCGCUCUCGUCCACGAAUCUUUGUCUACAAAUUUAGUCCAUGUCCACAUUUUAAGAAACAUGUAUUCUUUGCACGUGACCACAUUUUCAUACAUAUUUAUUAUGUCAAUGUCUACACAUUUGUGUAAAUGUUAAUAUACACUCCUCUGUU